UUUACUCCAGACUAUAAGUAAAUAAAAAACUACAAGAAUCGACUCCUUCAGCUCAGAAUGCUUCCAGAACAUGCUCCAGCCCCUAGGCCCAGGUUAAGGAAGUCUGUACUGGCACCUUCUAGGCCAAAUGGAAGCCACCCUUGGCCAUCUACAGGCCAGGCCUGGCCACUGGGACUAUAAGAAGACUCCAGAAAAUGGGCAGGGUGAAGCCAGGGAGAGAAGACACUGGGGGAGGGCACCUCACGUCCAUCUCCUGCCGGCACUUUGGACUUCUUUCCCCUCCACUUUGUUGGUGGGGGUCUUUCAUCGCUGGACUUCCUCCCCAGAUCCCAAAGAUUGACCCUUAUAUCCUACCACUGAGUGGGAUGAGGUGUCUCUUAGCAAAUGACCAGAACGGUGACAUCCAAGCCCUUUGCAUCUCUCCCAGAAUUCCGUUUUUCAAAGUUUGGUAGGUCCAAGACUGUCUUUGGUUUAGAGAACCACGUGGUUCAGAAAAAUGAAAAAAGGAAACCCCAAAACUGACCCAAGGACUAUCAGCCUGGCCUGACACCCCCACCAGCUACAAGAGGACCAUGCUACAAGACGGAGGCUCCUGCCCCUCCCCUCCUGCCUUAGUAUACCAACCUAGAACUCUGCCUUCACACCAGCCCAAAGCAUGUCCCCUGGACACUCACCUGGGAACCUCAGGAGACAUGCUCCACAGGUUUUCAAUAUCGUCUCCAUCUACCCUCCUCUUACAUAUCUGUAUUUACACCGCCAGAGUCCAGAGCCUCCCACAACUCACAAAUCCCUGAGACACACACACAUACAUGCACGUGGACUCUAAGCAGCCAUUUCUCAUGUCUGGACUUAGUUUCAUCUGCUGAAACCCUGGACCCUAUUCAUUCCCAUCUGAUCCCUUCCACCUUGCCUGGUCCUGACCUCAUCAUCCUGUCCCAGUGCUAAUCUUCAAGAGAGAAGAUCUGGCCACCCUCCUUCCAUGCGGGCCCCAAAAAGGGGGAUUGGCCCCUUCAGAUGAACACACACAUCUGUGAGGGGCUGGUCACCAGGUCUCAAGUCUGUCAUUGGAGCAGAAGAGGGCAAUUCUCCCCAGGGAGUUUCCUUUCUGCUAGAUAAGAAGAGCUUUUGUACUAUCAUCCAAGAGGUCUGGGUGGGUCUCAGGCUAGGCCCACUAACUGCUGACCCUUGACCUCUGACCUUCAUUGGGAAGCCCCUCUACUGUGACACACUUUCCCUGUUGAUCUGCCCUUUUCAGAGUGGGCGCAGCUGAGAAAACUGGGCACCUAGGAAGGAGGGAGGGAGGGACUUUAACCUGCAUCGCGUGGCCUGGGCAGCCGUCUCUACCCCUGUGCCCCCAGCCCUGCCAGGCAGGCCCCACCUCUGCAUUACCUCUGACCUCCAGCACUGUGAGCACAGCCUCGCAGGAGGCCUGGCCCCGCUCAUUCUGGGCGCUGCAGCUGUACACACCGGCGUCCUGUGCCCCGCAGCUCCGCAGCCACAGGCAGCUGGGCUCUGGGGCCGGUGUGGGCAGGAGCUGCCCAUCCCGGAACCAGCUGAGGUUAGGCUGGGGCGUCCCGCUCACUACCACCCGCAGCCGCACAUCAUUGCCCGCACACACCGCCGCGUUCUUCAGGGGCCGCAGGAAGACCGGCGCCCCGGCCCCUGCCCCGGUGGGGAGGACCCCUCUGCCGGCCCCCACCUUGGCUCUCUUCGGGGGCACCCCGGGGCUGGGAGGUGCCCUCGUGCCGGCGUCCUCGCCUCGCGCGCCCCGGCCUUUCUGCAUGGCCUCUGUGAUCUGGACUUGGGGGACCGGAGACGCUAGAACUGGGUGACCAGAGGGACGCCCCGGGGGGUAUGGUGCCUUAGGAGAUGGGUCCUAUGGGGCCGGCGGCCGGCCUUCCUGCUGCCCGCCCGCCCGCCUUCGGCCUGUGCUACCCAGAAGGUCACCAGGGCCGCCGGCAGUUGCGCCUCUCGGGGACUAUUUUUAGGCCCCCCGGCUCGGGUUGCGAAUGAGCAGUAGAGGGAGGGGGCAGCAGAGGAGGGGACUUGGACUCCAUGUGGCUCCUUCUGUCUCUCCCAGUGCCCCCAUCGCCAGCGCUGGCCUGAAAGAAUCUCCUCCCCCGCGGUAUGUCUGUCCUCCCCCAACCCCGCCCCCAGCCUGCUGGACCUGGGGAGUCGAGUUACCCCUGCCUGGGCUCAGGCCCACUUCCUUUCUUCAGCCCCAGCGCCCCAGCCUCACUAGGCUGCUGGAGAGGAAGGGGAAAGGUCCAGAGGAGAUGUCUGAGAGGUGCGUGGAGAGACAGGCCCCAGUGGAGGUGAGCAGAGGGACCGGUGGGCUCUCCCAGCACCUCCAUUACAGCUGGUAAGCACCGAGACCCAUAUCCUGGAGUUCGGGUGGAUUUCUGGGCCCUAGCUGGUCCUGCGCUCACUACCAGCACCAGCCCAGCUUCACUGCCCAGCCCACCGCCAACCCUCUCACAAUCUACCCCGCCCGGGGAAGAGGUAGUUGACUAGGAUGGUAACCAGCAGCCAAUAGCAGCAGCAAGGGCAGUGGAGCCGGAGGGACAGCUGGAGGAGAACAUGGUAGAGGUGGGGUUUGGAGGGCUUGAACUGCGUGGAUGAGGGCAAAGCUUGGGUUGUUAAGGACUCCGUUCUGAAGGCAGGAAGCGCGACGACUGAUUUCAAGCUGUAGUAGAUGAUUCUUUUGUCCAAACUUGUGGAUGUUUCACACACACACACACACACACACACACACACGCGGGGGGGGGGGUAGAGACAGGUGCCCAAGCCACUAGACACAAGUUGCAACCCCUCACCAUCUUCCCAGGUGCCCAAUUUUCUCAGCUGUGCCCACUCGGAAGGGCAGAUCAACAGGGAAGGGCAGGGAAAGUGUCAAGGUAGAGGCUUCCCACAUGGAGGUCAGAGGUCAAGGGUCAGUAGUUAGUGGGUCUAGCCUGAGACCCACAGAGACCUCUUGGACAAUAGUGCAGAAGCUCUUCUCACUAGUCCAGUAGAGAGAGUAGAGAGAAACCCCUGGGGAGACCCAUACAAACAAGAGUGCAUAUAAAUCUGAUAAGCUGGAUAUGCCAUGCCAAUGUCACUUUCCUGAUAUUCAUACAAGGUGUCACCCCUGGAAAAACCCGAGUGAAGUGUCCAGAAUCUGUCUGUGUUAUUUCUGACAAGGGCAUAUUAAUUUACAUUUCUAAACAACAACAAAAGAAAUUUAAGGUAUACAGUCCAGGGAAUACCACAGUAUUAGAGGGCUUGCAUAGGAUUUCUGAACGCCUCAGUUCUGUUUGCAGUCAUACACACACACACACACACACACACACACACACACACACACGCCCUUUUAGAGAUCCAGACCUGACUGUGAACUCUAAAAGGAUGGACCCUGGGAAGAGCUGAAAGCCAGGGUCACUCAGAGAUGGGGGUAAGUAUUCUUGUCUUCUUGGUUGGUUAAAUGAACCAUCUUCAUUCUGAGAAACUGAAGUCAAAGCGUGCAUGUGUGCAUGUGUGCUUGUUUGUGUGUGUGUGUGUGUGUGUGUGUGUGUGUAGGGGCGGGCAUGCGUGUGUGCAAUGGUGCUUGUGAGCGUGAGCAUGCAUUCCCAGGCGUGCAGUACAGAAGAAACAAUUUUAACACUGAAUUAUGUCCAUAAAGAUUAAGAGCCUUAGGGAAUGACUUUUCAUGUAGUUUGCAUACAUUAAAGCUGACUCUUUGUGAUGUGCAGGUCCGUGGGUUUUGACAAAUGCAUGAAAUUGUGUAUUUGCUACCCCAGGAACAUACAAAAGCAGCUCCAUCACCCUAAAUAUUCACGUGCGCUUCCUCUUUGUAGGCAGCCACACCCUGUCUACCGGUCCCUGGCAACCUCCAGUGAUGAAUUGAAUUCUACAGUGGUCUACAGUCGCUGGCGCCCUCUCCUGGACCAGGCUGUCCCAGCUGAGACAACUAGAAAAGAGAAUUGGAGCUAGCCUGAGCCUGGCCUUCGGGUUAUGGAAGCCUCGGAAGGUCUGUUCCCUUCUUGGUGUACACAGUCUUGUAGCAAGCUCCACAGCGUCUCAAGGAACGGGGGAAGAUCUUGCUGUGGAAGCAAUUGGGGUGGCCCUGGUUAAUUUUCCGCGAUGGGCAGAAUAGUGGCCUCUCGUCUAGGACUGUUUUCAGGUCUUGCUGAGAUCAUCUUGUGACGGACUGGGCUCCCAGCACCCUCCCCUACCUACCCUACCUAAGUCCUCACCGGCUCUCCUCGCCCUCCAGCAGUUUCCGGUAGGUGGCAAUCUCCACAUCCAAGGCCAUCUUCACAUUGAGCAGGUCUUGGUACUCCCGCAGGUGGCGGGCCAUCUCAUCCUUCAGAUGCCGGAUCUCCUCCUCCAGGCGCGCAAUGUUAUCCUGAUAGCCACUGGCCUCGCUGGCGAAGCGAUCCUCCAGCUCCCUCAUCUGCCUCAUCAGGGAGUCAUUCUGCAGGGGAUGAGGGGGCCCAAGUCAAGGACAGUCCCAGAGCAGAGCUAGGAAGGAGAGCACCAGAGAAUCAGGGUGGGAAGAAACCCAGUGUUGGAGGCAACUCCUCAUGGUCAUGGUCAGGUAGAAGAAUCAUCAAAGCCCUCUUCCUUAGCUAUGGAACCCUGAGAAGUCUUAUGUGGUCAUUCAGAACAAACCACCUAAUAAGGAGCGUCUAUACUAGCCCUCCAACCCUACACAGGGAGACACCCCCGGGAGUCCUCUGAUUCCUUAGUAUCCAACUAGGAAUCCACCCGUCUGCCUUUACCUCCCUGUACCUCCUUUGAGGAGAUGGAGGCCCCAGAGGGUCUGUAAUGGGCUCAAAGUGUCACAGAGGGAGGAGGGUGCGGAACUGAGCUGUGGGCAGAAAGAGGCCGAGCUUGUGGGCAUGGGGAGGGACUCACGGUGCCCUUGAGGGCAUCAAUCUCGCAGGUGUAGGACUGGAUCUGAUGCCGGUACUCCAUCAUCUCCUGCUUGGCCUGGCGCAGUGCAUCAUUGUUCUUGUUGGCUGCCUGGGUCAAGUCUGAAACCUGAGGGCAGAGAUGGAGAGAAGCAGGCAGGAUGCAGUGUGGGCAAGGGAGUGUGGAAGUUCCAGGCUCACCCUACUCCACGGAUGCAGGUCCGGGAAGCACCUCACAUGGAGACAGAGGACGGGGGCCAGAGCCCCUCGGCCAGAGCACCUACCUUGGACUUGUACCACUCUUCAGCUUCAGAGAUGUUCUUAGCCGCGAUGGUCUCGUACUGAGCCCGGAUGUCCCUGAGGGCCGCUGUGAGGUCUGGCUUGGACAUGUCCAUCUCCACCUGGACCUGCUGUUCCUGAAGCUGGGCCUGAAGCUCACGGAUCUCCUGAAGGACACAGCUGGGUUUCAGUCCCCUUCCAGUCCCUGCCAGAACACCUCCGCUCCCCCAUUUCAGAGUCAGCCCCUUUUCUAGCUGCUUUCUCCAAUCCCCAAGGGCCCUGGUGUACCUCUUCGUGCACUUUCUUAAGGAACGCGAUUUCCUCAUUGAGUGACUCGAUUCGGCGCUCCAGGUCGAUGCGAGCUAGCGUGGCUGCAUCUACAUCCUGGAUACACGGGGAAACAACAACAUUGGGGUCUGGAACAGCUCAAGUGGAGCCAAGGGGGAGAAAAGAGAGGGAUGCCUGUCGGGGACCAGAGAGGGCUCACCGCUCGGAAGGCAGCCAGAUUGUUCUCUGCUUCUUCCCUCAGUUGGAUUUCCUCCUGCAGCCUAGGCAGGGCAGACAGACAGACAAAUAGUGAGGGAUAGAGCUGUCAAUGGAAACCACUGCCUGGGACCUAUCAGGGAGCCAGCUCAGGACACAGGGACAAGGCCCGGUUGCUAGGUAGAAACAAGAGGCCUGGGGGAAAAAAAAUAGCAGAGGCCCCUCCCACGGGAGGGGGGGGGACAGGAAGUGGCUGGGUCUCAACCCUGGAGCCACACCCUUGAAGUCUAUGUCCCAAAUAGCUUGACCUCCCCGGGGUUAGGAACUGUGUUUUAUUUUAUCCACCUCAGUGUUCUCAGGCCUAGCCUGACCAUGUGGCUGUUAGUUAAAUAAAUGUUUGUGACUUUGGUGGCAA
Molecule: non-coding RNA, 6072 nt
Organism: Peromyscus maniculatus bairdii (prairie deer mouse)
Lineage: Eukaryota; Metazoa; Chordata; Mammalia; Rodentia; Cricetidae
Source: RefSeq, a predicted model, not a curated record